Long non-coding RNA from Bradysia coprophila, 97 nucleotides. The record is from RefSeq and is a predicted model, not a curated record. NCBI's taxonomy places the organism in Eukaryota, Metazoa, Arthropoda, Insecta, Diptera, Sciaridae.
UCGGAGUCGGUUUUUUUUGUAUUAUUUUCGAAUUGAUUUCAAAUGUUUUUCGUAAAUGAAAUGGUGGCUCUGAAAAGAGCCAUUUUUAUGCAGAAAU